This is a long non-coding RNA of Melanotaenia boesemani (Boeseman's rainbowfish), 250 nucleotides long. RefSeq lists it as uncharacterized. Lineage: Eukaryota; Metazoa; Chordata; Actinopteri; Atheriniformes; Melanotaeniidae. The transcript is spliced from 3 exons. The record is from RefSeq and is a predicted model, not a curated record.
GUCUGAUGUUUGCCAGUAUUGAGACGGAUACGGUCGAGUGUGUGAAUGACCCGGCUGCAGGCUAACCGCUCCUGAUCAGCACUCUUGUAUUUUGUACAGAAUAAAUGGUCAAUGCAGAAGGGGGCAAGUCUCUGUCUCAGUACCUUCAACAAACAAAAAAAACACAACGCAGAGUAAGACUACAAGAAAAGACUAACCCUGUCAGAACCAGGUCUGACACGGUUACACUGGUGCCGUGACCCGUUCGGCU